AAUAGAUACCCUGGUAGUCCACGCCGUAAACGAUGAGUGCUAAGUGUUAGGGGGUUUCCGCCCCUUAGUGCUGCAGCUAACGCAUUAAGCACUCCGCCUGGGGAGUACGGUCGCAAGACUGAAACUCAAAGGAAUUGACGGGGGCCCGCACAAGCGGUGGAGCAUGUGGUUUAAUUCGAAGCAACGCAAAGAACCUUACCAGGUCUUGACAUCCCAUUGACCACUAUGGAGACAUAGUUUUCCCUUCGGGGACAACGGUGACAGGUGGUGCAUGGUUGUCGUCAGCUCGUGUCGUGAGAUAUUGGGUUAAGUCCCGCAACGAGCGCAACCCUUGUUCUUAGUUGCCAUCAUUUAGUUGGGCACUCUAAGGAGACUGCCGGUGACAAACCGGAGGAAGGUGGGGAUGACGUCAAAUCAUCAUGCCCCUUAUGACCUGGGCUACACACGUGCUACAAUGGACGGUACAAACGGUUGCCAACCCGCGAGGGGGAGCUAAUCCGAUAAAACCGUUCUCAGUUCGGAUUGUAGGCUGCAACUUGCCUACA
RNAcentral lists this ribosomal RNA (545 nucleotides) under uncultured bacterium. RNAcentral's name for it is "bacterial SSU rRNA". It matches the Rfam family "Bacterial small subunit ribosomal RNA", at positions 777 to 1320 of the family's 1533-position model. The record is from RNAcentral.